AUGCUGAAGAAUAAAUGAAAAAACAAGUAUUUCCAGUGUGUUACUAUCUGUCCCUUAUAAAGCACUCCCAUGUGCUUCUGUAGAAGGACUGAAAACCUCAGGGAGAUGGAGAAGCAAACUUUCAAACGUAGAAUGAUGAGAAUGAUACUGAUACGAGUGAUGGAUUUUCUCCCAGUUUUAAGUUUGGAUAAUGUCUUCUUUAUAUAUAGAGGUACCUAUACGUAUAUGGUACCUGCGGAAUUUUGGACUCUUCUGGGAAACGGUGAAAUUGAGGGGAGUUCCCCAGUCCUGCUCAUCUUUGCAAGCAAGCUGUGCUCCAGCUCUCUGUGGAAUCCAUCAGACAGAGGAGGAGGGAGGCAUUGGGGUCUGAUUUGUCCCUCCCUUUUUGCCAUCAUUAAGGAGGUGCAAUCUGCCACAGAAGGACUGUCAUCCCCGUCCCAAUACUUGUUCUUUAAGCUUACAUGAAGAUGGAUGAAACAUUUCUUAAAAGGUGGGGUAAUUUAGCUUCCAUCCUCCUUAAAUACAGUUCCUCUGAAAACGAAGUCCCUGCUGUCUUCCAGUGGAUUACUGGUACCAGUGAAUGGCACCAGCUCAUUGAUAAGCUUAGGGAGCACAUAUCAGACAAACGAUGAAGCAAAGCAGAUUUCCUGUGAUUUUUGUUGAAAUGCUUCAAUUCUGAUCGUAGAUCUUCACUUAGUGUGGACUUCUCUUCUAGUGAGGCAAGAUACGCAGCUUUAUUUCCUGGCGACACGUCUCUUUGAUUUUGCCACCGAGUGACCCCCAAAGAGAAUACAGGAUUUACAAACGAGGUUUCUGGCAUGUUGUCCUAUACUUCCUUGUCCUCUCACAGCUCCAAACGCCUCUUAAAAUAGCUUCGCCAGUGGCUCCCCAACACCUCCCAGGAGCACAUCACAUUCCAGUGUAAGUGACAGGGGUCUGAGAGAGCAUUCUGUCACCUCACUGUGAGUUUCUCUGGACCGUGAAAUGCCCAGUGUCCCAGACAAGUCCAGGUCCUCAAGUCACCACCAACUGCUUCUCCUUGCCACUCCUCUGACAUCAAAUAAAGAAAAAAAAAGACAACCACACAAAAAAUGGGCAUUUCAUUUUGAAAACAUUUGUGGUGACACCGAUUACGCUUACAGUUAGGACUUAGGAGAGAUGACAAAAAAAUACAGCUUUGCGACUUGUCUUUUCUUUCUUACUCUAAAAAUACUCCACGGGGGCGCCUGGGUGGCUCAGUUGGUUAAGCAUCCGACUUCGGCUCAGGUCUUGAUCUUGCAGUUCAUGAGUUCGAGCCCCACGUCAGGCACUGGGCUGACAGCUCGGAGCCUGGAGCCUGCUUUGGAUUCUGUGUCUCCCUCUCUCUCUGCCCCUCCCCUGCUCAUGCUCUCUCUCUCUCUCUCUCUCUCAAAAAUAAAAAAAUAAAAAAAAAUAAUGUACAGAUUGACAUUACCAUUCACACAACAGACAGUAAAACUUUCAAGUUUCUUAUACAACAAAACAACUAAAAACUAUUUACAAUAUAAAACUAUCUAUAUCUACAUCUAUAUCUAUAUCUAUAUCUAUAUCUAUAUCUAUAUCCUAUCCAACAAGAAAAUGUUCCCAUUCUAAAGAUAAAAGACUCCCAUUUUGAAGUUUUAAAGACUUCAAAAUAUAGAACAUUCCAUUAGAUUCUUAUUCAGAGAUACCUCAGUGGAAUCUCUUUGUCUCCCAUAGAAAUAUUUUCACAGCAAUUUUAAACAUAGAAGGGUAUAAAUAUCCCAGCUUUCCCAUAACUUUCUAGAAUUCUACAGAGUAAACAGCCCUAUGUUCAGGCAAUGAAUUUCUUCGACUAAUCCUUCUGCUUUAAAAAAUAUACUACUUACAGGUCUUUCCUGCUUGUGUCUAUCUCAAAUUAAAAUUGGAAGUGAAAUUUUCUCAAAGUUUAAAAAAGGAUGUUCUAGCCCUAUCCAAAGUACUGUGCUUCCUGUUCCUGAACACCAGAGGGCAUCAUUCAGUGAAAGCCAGGAUUUGGGAGAGAGGGAAAGACAAGGAAUUCCACUGCUAAUGAAAGAAACUGAUUUUUUAGUGUGUACCCUUAUCUACCAUGAAGCAUUACCAUGGUAACAGCACCAGUUAAGAUGAUUGUAUAUUUAGGUCACAGUAUAAAAGAAGGAGCUUGAACAUGAAGGGGGGGGGGGGG
This is a long non-coding RNA of Panthera uncia (snow leopard), 2182 nucleotides long. RefSeq lists it as uncharacterized. Lineage: Eukaryota; Metazoa; Chordata; Mammalia; Carnivora; Felidae. The record is from RefSeq and is a predicted model, not a curated record. The transcript is spliced from 2 exons.